UACAGAGGUCUCGAGCGUUGUUCGGAUUCAUUGGGCGUAAAGGGUGCGUAGGUGGCUAGGUAAGUCGGAUGUGAAAUCCCGGGGCUCAACCCCGGAACUGCAUUCGAUACUGCCUGGCUAGAGUACUGGAGAGGAGAUUGGAAUUUACGGUGUAGCAGUGAAAUGCGUAGAGAUCCGGAGGAAGACCGGUGGCGAAGGCGGCCUGCUGGGCAGUUACUGACACUGAUGCGCGACAGCGUGGGGAGCAAACAGG
Molecule: ribosomal RNA, 253 nt
Filed under: uncultured bacterium
Lineage: Bacteria
Description: partial 16S ribosomal RNA
Rfam family: Bacterial small subunit ribosomal RNA
Source: RNAcentral